Ornithorhynchus anatinus (platypus) is the source of this 72-nucleotide non-coding RNA. The record is from Rfam. Lineage: Eukaryota; Metazoa; Chordata; Mammalia; Monotremata; Ornithorhynchidae.
AGCGGUGUGGCUCAGUGGAAAGAGCACGGGCUUGGGAGUCAGAGGUCAUAGGUUCGAAUCCUGACUCCGCCA